AUGGCCUAUAAUGUUUUUAGUCACCCUUUCUUUCGAUUUUGCAACCCUCCGAUCUUCGAAGACUGGUCGGGAUCAACGGGUCUUAUGGACUGGCUUGAAUCCCAUUCUGCACACAUCUUCAAAUUCAACGUUCCAGGUUUGGCCAAAGAAGAUAUAAAAGUUGAGAUAGAAGAUGGAAACAUUUUGCACAUAAGAGGAGAAGGAGUAAAAGAGGAAUCAAACUCAAAGGACAGCGUUUUGCAUGUAGCAGAGAGAGGGACAGGAAAACGAGCGUUUUCUCGAAAAGUUGAAUUGCCAGAAAAUGUGAAAUUUGAUCAGAUUAAAGCUCAAGUGGAAAAUGGUCUUCUCACCAUAAUUGUUCCCAAGGAUACAACUCCAAAGCCUUCUAAAGUGAGAAGCAUCAACAUUACUAGCAAGCUCUGAGUAGAUAUUCGUCGUUUCUCUAGUACGGAUAUCUUCUUGUAAUAUUACAAGUGUCCUAUAAUAAUAAUAAUUUAUUAAAUAAUAAUAAGGUAGGAAUUUUCUACUAUAAGGUGUUGAAAAAGACAUUAUGGGGGUGUUUGUAAGCUAAUUGUUGUGUUAAAAAUCACUCUUUUUAAAUAAAAAUCAUCACUUUAUUAA
RNA transcript from Cannabis sativa, 621 nucleotides. It is a transcript of the gene named 15.7 kDa heat shock protein, peroxisomal, with no coding region annotated. NCBI's taxonomy places the organism in Eukaryota, Viridiplantae, Streptophyta, Magnoliopsida, Rosales, Cannabaceae. The transcript has 3 exons. The record is from RefSeq and is a predicted model, not a curated record.